GCCACAGCCACAUUCCAUAAACAGCACUGUUCAAAUAGAUAGCGCAGAUUUGACGUGUUGGCAUAGUGCCGAUGUUUUCCUACUAGUUAUUAACAUAUGUAUUAUUGAAAUGAGGAAUUAAGUGGUUGUGUGGUUUGGCAGUCUUAUUUCCGCUGGGACAGCUGGGAUGGAGAUGACGAUACGUGAGCCUGGACUCCCCUCCUAAAGACCAUACUCACUGUGAGUUAUAGCAGCAUGCUAGCGCGUCCAAGCCCUCCACCUUCCACUCCUGACAAUCACCAGCUCAGUGUGCUUUGGAGCACACCAACAGCGACACGUUCAGGUUCUGCCCCGCCCUCCCCCGGUCCCGUCCCCAGCUGCUGUGUCUGUCCUCCGGGGGCACGAUGACCUCUGACCUGCCUGAGGCUUUGCUACCGUCCAGCUUUCUGACCUGGGAUGCAGUUUCUGACUUCAGAGAAAAAGGAGGAAACACUAGAUCUUAAGUUGACUCCCUGGACACUGGUCACUCCUGAAGCUUUAGGCAACUUUGACAUAAUGACAUGGGUCACAGACUCCAUAAAUAAGCUGUAAACCACAGUUCUUCAAGUGAUGCAACUUUUUAGUACACUCUGUAAGCAGUGUUUGUAUCACUACAUAGCUUUCAAACAUGUUUCAAAUAGUAUUACAAUAUAUAUAUGGUCAAUUAUUUAAUGUAUACAGUCCAAUGCCAACAUCUGAAUGCAGCUGUGCUGAAUGUGUGUACCUGAUGUGAGCAUGCUAAUCUAAAUUACAGAAAAGGCCAAUAACACCUUGCAAAUUAAUUAUUAGCUGGUCACAUAGGUCAAUAUUUGUUUAUUCUCAAAAAGGGAUUCGCUUUUAUGUGAGGAAAUUAUAAACAGCUAUUACUCAGCUCAAUGAGAGUUUCAAACCAGCGUCUCAGCUGUGGAGAUGGAUGUUUGGUUACACAGGUCUGGAGAAUGAUUUCUCAUGGGAAGCCAUCUUAGUAAACACUUAGUGGGGUCUCAGUGGACCUGUUGUUUACCUUUAACACUAAACCAGAGGAACUCAAUGUCAGGUCCUCCUGUGUGUUUGUGAUUCAACACAUUAGUAUAGUGAUGAGAGAAAGAUGUGUUGCUCCCACCAGGACCUAGGUAACCUCUGUAUAUAGAACAGGAUUGCAAAACGCUGGUUACUUUCUCAAAAUAUUUGUAAUAUGUACUCUUAAUAUAAACAGAUACCAUACAUGGAGCAGGACCGGGGGAAUUCAGAGACAUUUAUUAUAGUUCCUUCAUGUGCCUUAAUGUGACCUUGAGGAUGAAUACAGUAUUCUGUGGACAGUGUACCAGAGCUGUUAUGUUCCCAAUGUUUUUGUAGUGGCAAUGCCUUACAGAAAUGUAAACCAUUGAAAUUGGAAGGUCAUCAUAUCCUGACAAGACCACAAUACAUUCCUAAACCUACUUCCUAACCCCAAGUACAAAGCCGACUCGUAGCAUUUGCGCUAACCCUCUCUGAUGAAAUAUCAUUAUGCAUUUGUCCUAUAGCUGUUCACUGUGUACCAUACAUGUAGUGAGGUCUCUAUACAUCCACACACGUUCUGGUCUUCAUUAGACUACAACUGAACAUCCUCCUGGCUUGACAGAGAAGGUCUUUCAUCUGCACCUCCCUGCCUGGUCCUGCUCAACCAGAGUCUAACCAGAAACACCCCACAGCCCUGGGCAAGGAGUCCUAAGGUGGUUCUGAUCUAACCAGGUGGUUCUGAUCUAAAAAGGAAUACUGCGCUACUUUGAUUGCAAUGAAACUGACCUUGAACUCACAUGGGAGUAGACGUGUGAGCCUUGAAAUAACUAAGAUGAACAAUCCUAACUGGUAACCUGACGAGUGACAAUGAAUGGGAAAUGACUGUUUAUCAAGAGUUUCUCUAUGUUUGCCUAAUGAAAUGUGAGUACUGAAUUAGGAAGCCCAAACACCAGCACUGCAGGGCAGAAAAACAUGUGAAAUCCAUAAAUAUAGCUGAUAUUGUUUGGCCGUUACAACAUGGCUAGUGCAGGUGAGAAGCGGAGACAGACAGAUAUAGCGUGCAAGGUUUGAUAAAUGAUGGAUCAUGGCUCAAUGCAAUGCUAAUCUGCAGAACGAAGCUGAGAGGUCAAAGGAAAUGUACAGGAG
Long non-coding RNA from Esox lucius (northern pike), 2142 nucleotides. The record is from Ensembl. NCBI's taxonomy places the organism in Eukaryota, Metazoa, Chordata, Actinopteri, Esociformes, Esocidae.